CUCAGACACAGGUCCAACUUCCUCAGUCCUUAACACAACAGAAGGAGUGUGGCUCUUUGUUUUCCUCUGUCUUUGGUGAGGUGUUGACUCAGUACCUUUCUUGGGGGCAUCUCUUCAUCCAAGAGCAGCUGCAAUUCACCUGUAAGGGCCUGGUUAUCUUUUCUGCUUCUCCCAUCUUGCCCAGGAGAUGGAAUUCUAGUGCUACAGAGCAGAUGGCUCGUGGUGCUCCCAAAAGGAGCCUUUGUGCCUUCAGGGGACACUGAGCUGGUCCAGCUGUGGCAAAAAGAGCAAGUGUCCUGUGAAGGUUUGGAGCAGUCUGGAGGGUUCCUCGUGCCCAAAGGAGCCUGGAAGUGCAGCCCUGGAGGCAUGAGGAAUAAUGACAAGUGUCCCAUUUCUUGUGAAGCUCAACUAUGUAAAACAUUUAGGGAGCUAAAAUUCCACAGCCUUGAGUUGUUGGGCCCCAAAUAAUAGUGGAGGGGGAGAGGCAGAGAAUGCCCCUGCUGCUGGGGCUGAACUGUGUGCAGUGAGGGGGCAGGACUUGGCCCUGAUGCCUGAGUGCUCUCCAGCCCCCAGGCUGGAUCCCAGCUGUCAGCCCCUGGCUCCAGCCCUUGAGAAGAUGGUGUUCCUGCCAGCCCAGCUGCUGGGCUGGUGGUCCUGGGGGCACCUCCUGCCCUGGCCUGCUGGGAAGGUGUUUGUGCUGCAGCUCAAUAAAGUCCCUUUCAGUGGUGA
Molecule: long non-coding RNA, 729 nt
Organism: Pipra filicauda (Wire-tailed manakin)
Lineage: Eukaryota; Metazoa; Chordata; Aves; Passeriformes; Pipridae
Exons: 2
Source: RefSeq, a predicted model, not a curated record